CCUACGGGGGGCUGCAGUGGGGAAUAUUGGACAAUGGGGGCAACCCUGAUCCAGCCAUGCCGCGUGUGUGAAGAAGGCCCUCGGGUUGUAAAGCACUUUCAGUGAGGAAGAACGCCUGGUGGUUAAUACCCAUCAGGAAAGACAUCACUCACAGAAGAAGCACCGGCUAACUCCGUGCCAGCAGCCGCGGUAAUACGGAGGGUGCGAGCGUUAAUCGGAAUUACUGGGCGUAAAGCGCGCGUAGGUGGCUUGAUAAGCCGGUUGUGAAAGCCCCGGGCUCAACCUGGGAACGGCAUCCGGAACUGGCAAGCUAGAGUGCAGGAGAGGAAGGUAGAAUUCCCGGUGUAGCGGUGAAAUGCGUAGAGAUCGGGAGGAAUACCAGUGGCGAAGGCGGCCUUCUGGACGGACACUGACACUGAGGUGCGAAAGCGUGGGUAGCAAACAGGAUUAGAUACCCUUGUAGUC
This 465-nucleotide ribosomal RNA is filed under the name Vreelandella stevensii. RNAcentral describes it as "partial 16S ribosomal RNA". It matches the Rfam family "Bacterial small subunit ribosomal RNA", at positions 338 to 795 of the family's 1533-position model. Lineage: Bacteria; Pseudomonadati; Pseudomonadota; Gammaproteobacteria; Oceanospirillales; Halomonadaceae. The record is from RNAcentral.